GUGUCAGCAGCCGCGGUAAUACAGAGGGUGCGAACGUUGUUCGGAAUCACUGGGCAUAAAGCGCACGUAGGCGGCACCGCAAGUGUGGGGUGAAAUCCCACGGCUUACCCGUGGAACUGCCUGGCAGACUGCGGUGCUAGAGGUUGGUAGGGGAGAGCGGAACUCUUGGUGGAGCGGUGAAAUGCGUAGAUAUCAAGAGGAACACCGGUGGCGAAGGCGGCUCUCUGGUCCAAUCCUGACGCUGAGGUGCGAAAGCUAGGGGAGCAAACGGGAUUAGAUACCCCCGUAGUCC
Molecule: ribosomal RNA, 292 nt
Filed under: uncultured bacterium
Lineage: Bacteria
Description: partial 16S ribosomal RNA
Rfam family: Bacterial small subunit ribosomal RNA
Source: RNAcentral